AGAGUUUGAUCAUGGCUCAGAGCGAACGCUGGCGGCAGGCCUAACACAUGCAAGUCGAACGGGCCCUUUCGGGGGUCAGUGGCAGACGGGUGAGUAACGCGUGGGAACGUGCCCAUCGGUUCGGGAUAACCCAGGGAAACUUGGGCUAAUACCGGAUACGCCCUUUUGGGGAAAGAUUCAUUGCCGAUGGAUCGGCCCGCGUCUGAUUAGCUUGUUGGUGAGGUAACGGCUCACCAAGGCGACUCANNAGCUGGUCUGAGAGGAUGAUCAGCCACACUGGGACUGAGACACGGCCCAGACUCCUACGGAGGCAGCAGUGGGGAAUAUUGGACAAUGGGCGCAAGCCUGAUCCAGCCAUGCCGCGUGAGUGAUGAAGGCCUUAGGGUUGUAAAGCUCUUUCCCCACGACGAUAAUGACGGUAGUGGGAGAAGAAGCCCCGCUAACUUCGUCCAGCAGCCGCGGUAAUACGAAGGGGGCUAGCGUUGCUCGGAAUCACUGGGCGUAAAGGGCGCGUAGGCGGCCGAUCAAGUCAGGGGUGAAAGCCUGUGGCUCACCACAGAAUUGCCUUUGAUACUGUUUGGCUCGAGACCGGAAGAGGUUGGUGGAACUGCGAGUGUAGAGGUGAAAUUCGUAGAUAUUCGCAAGAACCCAGUGGCGAAGGCGGCCAACUGGUCCGGUUCUGACGCUGAGGCGCGAAAGCGUGGGGAGCAAACAGGAUUAGAUACCCUAGUAGUCC
RNAcentral lists this ribosomal RNA (736 nucleotides) under uncultured bacterium. Its description in RNAcentral is "bacterial SSU rRNA". It matches the Rfam family "Bacterial small subunit ribosomal RNA", at positions 8 to 796 of the family's 1533-position model. The record is from RNAcentral.